RNAcentral lists this ribosomal RNA (484 nucleotides) under uncultured bacterium. RNAcentral describes it as "partial 16S ribosomal RNA". It matches the Rfam family "Bacterial small subunit ribosomal RNA", at positions 30 to 507 of the family's 1533-position model. The record is from RNAcentral.
AUUGAACGCUGGCGGAAUGCUUUACACAUGCAAGUCGAACGGCGGCACGGGGGCAACCCUGGUGGCGAGUGGCGAACGGGUGAGUAAUACAUCGGAACGUGCCCGGUCGUGGGGGAUAACGUAGCGAAAGUUACGCUAAUACCGCAUACGAUCUGAGGAUGAAAGCGGGGGACCUUCGGGCCUCGCGCGAUCGGAGCGGCCGAUGUCAGAUUAGGUAGUUGGUGGGGUAAAGGCCUACCAAGCCGACGAUCUGUAGCUGGUCUGAGAGGACGACCAGCCACACUGGGACUGAGAUACGGCCCAGACUCCUACGGGAGGCAGCAGUGGGGAAUUUUGGACAAUGGGCGCAAGCCUGAUCCAGCCAUUCCGCGCGCAGGACGAAGGCCUUCGGGUUGUAAACUGCUUUUGUAUGGAACGAAAAGGCUCUGGCUAAUACCUGGGGCUCAUGACGGUACCGUAAGAAUAAGCACCGGCUAACUACGUG